GGCCUAUCAGCUUGUUGGUGGGGUAACGGCCUACCAAAGGCGACGACGGGUAGCCGGCCUGAGAGGGCGACCGGCCACACUGGGACUGAGACACGGCCCAGACUCCUACGGGAGACAGCAGUGGGGAAUAUUGCGCAAUGGGCGAAAGCCUGACGCAGCGACGCCGCGUGGGGGAUGAAGGCCUUCGGGUUGUAUACCCCUUUCAGCAGGGACGAAGCGAAAGUGACGGUACCUGCAGAAGAAGCGCCGGCUAACUACGUGCCAGCAGCCGCGGUCACACGUAGGGCGCAAGCGUUGUCCGGAAUUAUUGGGCGUAAAGAGCUCGUAGGCGGUCUGUUGCGUCCGCUGUGAAAUCUCGGGGCUUAACCCCGAGCCUGCAGUGGAUACGGGCAGACUAGAGGUAGGUAGGGGAGAAUGGAAUUCCCGGUGUAGCGGUGAAAUGCGCAGAAAUCGGGAGGAACACCGGUGGCGAAGGCGGUUCUCUGGGCCUUACCUGACGCUGAGGAGCGAAAGCGUGGGGAGCA
This 524-nucleotide ribosomal RNA is filed under the name uncultured bacterium. RNAcentral's name for it is "bacterial SSU rRNA". It matches the Rfam family "Bacterial small subunit ribosomal RNA", at positions 235 to 770 of the family's 1533-position model. The record is from RNAcentral.